RNAcentral lists this long non-coding RNA (309 nucleotides) under Medicago truncatula (barrel medic). RNAcentral's name for it is "long non-coding RNA (MTRU_LNC003869)". The record is from RNAcentral. Lineage: Eukaryota; Viridiplantae; Streptophyta; Magnoliopsida; Fabales; Fabaceae.
CCCAAACCCACGUUUCUACAUGUGGCUCAAUAUCACUUUUAAUGUAACCCUAAUGUUAUUAACUGCUAUUGCUUAGUGAGAUGAAACAGCCGCCGCUCACUUGCAAGCCUCUCUCUCUACCGUUGCAUCCUUUAUUUUUUUCUUCUAUUUUUUGUUUACGGUUUUCAUCUUCUUCGUCUGAAUUUGGAUCUGUGCUUUUUCUUCUUGAAUCGAAUCAUACAGUCCAAUUAUUUCUUCUUCUUCUAGCAAUCUUGGUUGAAUAUUUCUCAAUCUGUGCUGUGUAUGCGAAGAGACCUAGGAACCGUUUUA